Molecule: ribosomal RNA, 253 nt
Filed under: uncultured bacterium
Lineage: Bacteria
Description: partial 16S ribosomal RNA
Rfam family: Bacterial small subunit ribosomal RNA
Source: RNAcentral
UACGGAGGGUGCAAGCGUUAUCCGGAUUCACUGGGUUUAAAGGGUGCGUAGGUGGGCAGGUAAGUCAGUGGUGAAAUCUCCGGGCUUAACCCGGAAACUGCCGUUGAUACUAUCUGUCUUGAAUGUAGUGGAGGUGAGCGGAAUAUGUCAUGUAGCGGUGAAAUGCUUAGAUAUGACAUAGAACAUCGAUUGCGAAGGCAGCUCACUACACUAUUAUUGACACUGAGGCACGAAAGCGUGGGGAUCAAACAGG